CUACGGGGGGCUCCAGUGAAGAAUAUUGCGCAAUGGGGGAAACCCUGACGCAGCGACGCCGCGUGGAUGAUGAAGGCCUUAGGGUCGUAAAAUCCUGUCAGGUGGGAAGAAGUGGAUAUAGAUUAAUACUCUAUUUCUUUGACGGUACCACCAAAGGAAGCACCGGCUAACUCCGUGCCAGCAGCCGCGGUAAUACGGAGGGUGCAAACGUUGUUCGGAAUUACUGGGCGUAAAGCGCGCGUAGGCGGUUUGUUAAGUCAGAUGUGAAAGUCCAUGGCUCAACUAGGGAAGUGCAUUUGAAACUGGCAGACUUGAGUACUGGAGGGGGUGAUGGAAUUCCCGGUGUAGAGGUGAAAUUCGUAGAUAUCGGGAGGAAUACCGGUGGCGAAGGCGAUCACCUGGCCAGAUACUGACGCUGAGGUGCGAAAGCGUGGGGAGCAAACAGGAUUAGAUACCCGCGUAGUC
This 465-nucleotide ribosomal RNA is filed under the name uncultured bacterium. RNAcentral describes it as "partial 16S ribosomal RNA". It matches the Rfam family "Bacterial small subunit ribosomal RNA", at positions 339 to 795 of the family's 1533-position model. The record is from RNAcentral.